This 446-nucleotide unclassified non-coding RNA is filed under the name Hevea brasiliensis (rubber tree). Lineage: Eukaryota; Viridiplantae; Streptophyta; Magnoliopsida; Malpighiales; Euphorbiaceae. The record is from RNAcentral.
GCGCCUUAUUCAUAUCAUAAACUGACAUGCAAUUUCUUGACUCGUUGUCAAGGUUUAAUCCUAAUCCUAAACCUAAGUUAUCCCAGAGCUUCACUACGUUUCUUCCCAUUUGUGAACUCAGACCAUGAUGAAAAGAGGUCUCCAAGGCUACUGUUUCUACGUCUCCUUAAAUUACGAUUAUGCAACUGAUCAUCGGCAUAAUAACCGGAACCUCUGACACUAAAAUCUUCAUCAACGGACCUCCAGCUCUGUGAAUUCGAAGACGAUGAUGCAUGUUCAUCUUCUUCUGCUUCGUCGUCGUCUUCUGAUAGCGACGAACAAGACGUGUCUGUUUCGCUGCCGUAGUCAUAAUCAUCAUCGGUGAUGAGAGGAGUUUCAGAAGUGAUUAAAUAACGGUUUUGAAUUCGAAUGAUGAGCAUCUUAAUUCUAUUGAUUAUGGUGGAAAA